CUAAGGCCGAUGGCGACCGGCGCACGGGUGAGUAACACGUAUCCAACCUGCCGAUAACUCGGGGAUAGCCUUUCGAAAGAAAGAUUAAUACCCGAUGGCAUAAUAGAACCGCAUGGUUUGAUUAUUAAAGAAUUUCGGUUAUCGAUGGGGAUGCGUUCCAUUAGGCAGUUGGUGGGGUAACGGCCCACCAAACCUUCGAUGGAUAGGGGUUCUGAGAGGAAGGUCCCCCACAUUGGAACUGAGACACGGUCCAA
This 254-nucleotide ribosomal RNA is filed under the name uncultured bacterium. Its description in RNAcentral is "partial 16S ribosomal RNA". It matches the Rfam family "Bacterial small subunit ribosomal RNA", at positions 79 to 334 of the family's 1533-position model. The record is from RNAcentral.